Molecule: ribosomal RNA, 519 nt
Filed under: uncultured Staphylococcus sp.
Lineage: Bacteria; Bacillati; Bacillota; Bacilli; Caryophanales; Staphylococcaceae
Description: bacterial SSU rRNA
Rfam family: Bacterial small subunit ribosomal RNA
Source: RNAcentral
GAGAGUUUGAUCCUGGCUCAGGAUGAACGCUGGCGGCGUGCCUAAUACAUGCAAGUCGAGCGAACAGAUAAGGAGCUUGCUCCUUUGACGUUAGCGGCGGACGGGUGAGUAACACGUGGGUAACCUACCUAUAAGACUGGGAAUAACUCCGGGAAACCGGGGCUAAUGCCGGAUAAUAUUUAGAACCGCAUGGUUCUAAAGUGAAAGAUGGUUUUGCUAUCACUUAUAGAUGGACCCGCGCCGUAUUAGCUAGUUGGUGGGGUAAUGGCUUACCAAGGCAACGAUACGUAGCCGACCUGAGAGGGUGAUCGGCCACACUGGAACUGAGACACGGUCCAGACUCCUACGGGAGGCAGCAGUAGGGAAUCUUCCGCAAUGGGCGAAAGCCUGACGGAGCAACGCCGCGUGAGUGAUGAAGGUCUUCGGAUCGUAAAACUCUGUUAUUAGGGAAGAACAAAUGUGUAAGUAACAGUGCACGUCUUGACGGUACCUAAUCAGAAAGCCACGGCUAACUACGUG